GAUGAACGCUGGCGGCGUGCCUAAUACAUGCAAGUCGAACGAAACUUCUUUAUCACCGAGUGCUUGCACUCACCGAUAAAGAGUUGAGUGGCGAACGGGUGAGUAACACGUGGGCGACCUGCCCAAAAGAGGGGGAUAACACUUGGAAACAGGUGCUAAUACCGCAUAACCAUAGUUACCGCAUGGUAACUAUGUAAAAGGUGGCUAUACUACCGCUUUUGGAUGGGCCCGCGGCGCAUUAGCUAGUUGAUAGGGUAAAGGCUUACCAAGGCAAUGAUGCGUAGCCGAAUUGAGAGGUUGAUCGGCCACAUUGGGACUGAGACACGGCCCAAACUCCUACGGGAGGCAGCAGUAGGGAAUCUUCCACAAUGGGCGAAAGCCUGAUGGAGCAACGCCGCGUGGGUGAAGAAGGUCUUCGGAUCGUAAAACCCUGUUGUUAGAGAAGAAAGUGCGUGAGAGUAACUGUUCACGUUUCGACGGUAUCUAACCAGAAAGCCACUGCUAACUACGUG
Molecule: ribosomal RNA, 512 nt
Filed under: uncultured bacterium
Lineage: Bacteria
Description: partial 16S ribosomal RNA
Rfam family: Bacterial small subunit ribosomal RNA
Source: RNAcentral